Long non-coding RNA from Microplitis mediator, 2150 nucleotides. RefSeq lists it as uncharacterized. NCBI's taxonomy places the organism in Eukaryota, Metazoa, Arthropoda, Insecta, Hymenoptera, Braconidae. The record is from RefSeq and is a predicted model, not a curated record. The transcript has 2 exons.
CAUUUCGCGGAAAUUUCAUUGUUACGAAAAUAUUUUCGUCACGUGUGACAGCAAUAUUUUAAAAGAUUGAGAUGAGAUCAGAGUAGAUAAGAGGAGAGCCGUAUUAUUGACGUUUAGUUUGAAUUACUCUCGAGUAGAGCGGGUGAGGUGAGGAGUCAUUUUAUCGGGAGUAAUAAGAGAGGAUCCGCGGCCGCGGUUGAGAAGCGCUGUCUCUGGUACAUUCGAAAUUCAAUGUGAUUGCCAUCGCAGCCAGGCAACUUUAAUUCCCAAAUUAUUAUUAUUAUUAUUAUAUUGUUUUUUAUUUAUGCGUAUGACAUUACAGUGUCACGGGCUGGCAAUUUUUCGGCAACGUACAAUGGCAGAUGUUACGGGAAAUAAUGAUGAUGGGUAUUAUAUCGUGUAAGUUUAAAUUGUUGUUUUGGUAAAAGAGAGGACGAUGCGCGCGCAUUCCCGGUGGCCACGUAAACUUCAUCAUCGUUUUAUUUUAUUUCGCGUGUAGAGUAGUGUGGCGAUGUUGGAUGUGUGGAUGUGAGAAUGAGCGAGCGAGAUAAGAUGAUAAGUUGGCACGGAUGCUAUUGCAGGUUGAAAGAGGAUGAAUUUUAGUGUACGCUGGUAGAAGCGUGCGCGGAACCCUGGCAAACAUGGUGGCUCAUUCGUUAGACAUAUAUAUAUCUAUAUAUAUAUAUAUAUAUAUAUAUACUAUGUAUAAAUGUAUGUAUGUAUGUAUGUAUGGGUUUACUCUAUUUGAGAGCCGGUCACGUAUAUACUGAGUUUCAGAUUUACUCAUGCGUGAACACACGAUACUGAAACACAGCAUGUAUAUGCAAGACAAGGAUAUAAAAUAUCAUAUAUAUAUGUAGUAUAAAAUGUAUUUUAUGGAAUAGAAGAGCUGGAAGCAAUCUCUAACAGUUAUAAAUAUUUCUUUCUCUGUUGUCUUCUCCAUCUCAGGCAAUCGAAACAACUAGAUUUUAUUUUUCAAAUUAGGAUGUAAGAUCUCAGAUUGAUUGCAUGAACAGAAGAUAUAUAUGUAUAUAUUUAUUAUUGUUAAUACUUUUUGUCAAUUGAUCAGCUUGUAUAUGAGUAUUAUCAUGUAAUCAUAAAUGAUGAGUAGUGAUUUGAAAAAUUGGAUAUAAAUUUUAAUAAAAUUGAUGUGAUGGAUGUAAAAAUUGAUAUUAGAAAUGUGUAUAUUAUAUCAAGAGAUGGAUAUAUAAGGACCCACGUAUGUGCCACGUAGCAACGACAGCAUCACGCGAGUACGUUAGUGGGAGUUUUAAUGUUUUUGCACACAUGCGCGCUUGCUUAAAACUAAAGUAUCCUAUACUCUGGUCUCUGGUACAGGUACUGAUGCAAACUUUGCUUGUAUUCCAUAUGAAUGCAUGUAGUUUCCACAUACGUGAUAUGUUUAUGUAUCCAUCAGUCGUACUUGCACUUUUUCGCUUCAUCUCGUGGGAAAAUUUAAUGUGUCUGGUUUUCUAACUUAAGCGCAUUUGUAAUUAUAAUCAAUUAUUGAUGAUAGAUAUAUGAACAUAUGGAUAGAUGUAAAAUUGAAUACCAUGAGAUGCAUCAACACGGAUCUGAUGAAUCUAUUGUAUGGAUUUGUCGGUUACAAAGUAUGUAAAAGGAGCGUCAGUAUGCGUUAUACGCAAUUCAAGGUCAAGGGGAAGGUCGCGCGGGUUACUAUCGACUUUUGGUAUCACUGUUAUAAAAUCCUCCCUCGACUUUACUACUACUACUGCUACUGUACUCCAUACUCCACAUGAUUCAACUCAACAGACUCGCAAUAACAACUCGAUAAAAACUUACAACCAAAAGUAAACUGUCAAGUGUAAAAAAUUAAAUGACACUGCAGCAAAGGGUUUGCUAAAAAAAUUCUAAAAACUUUCUCAAAGCAUCCAGGGAAAAAAAAGUUAAUAAAAUAAAUUAAAAUACAUAAUGAAGUUUAAAAAAGUGUACAUAUUAAAUUUACAGCAGAUGGGUACGAACACUUUCUCAAUAUUAUUGCAGUAAAUGCUUCAGGGCCGAUGUUUAUCAGCGUUCAGCCGUCUUUUAAAAUUAUGUAUAACUCAUGUUUUAAAUGUUUAAUUUAACUUAACAUGUAAAUUGUACGUUACUUUUAUUUUAUAUUCAAAUAAAAUAUUAUUUUUCCCUAA